RNAcentral lists this unclassified non-coding RNA (224 nucleotides) under Hevea brasiliensis (rubber tree). The record is from RNAcentral. Lineage: Eukaryota; Viridiplantae; Streptophyta; Magnoliopsida; Malpighiales; Euphorbiaceae.
UUUGCAUAAGCAGCCACAUCUCCACCUACAAAACCUCUAUAAAAUCAUCACUACUAUCAGCACAUCAUAGUCGUCCCCCAUGGAGAAGUCCAGUUUGAAUGCAAUUUGUCUGUCCGAAAAAACAAAAACACUUGAUACAGAAAGUGAAACAAAAUAUAGUAUAGAAAGGGUACUACACUAAAAUAUUAUAAACAUUAAAAUGCUAGGUUAGCAUCUUACAUUCU